Molecule: non-coding RNA, 562 nt
Organism: Cinara cedri
Lineage: Eukaryota; Metazoa; Arthropoda; Insecta; Hemiptera; Aphididae
Source: the annotation of a GenBank genome assembly
AAAAGCUAAAUAUACUUCGGACUAUGUACGGGCGGAUAUAGGCACUGUUAUAGGUAGGUAUUCAAGAAUUUAUUUUUUACACAAGAAGCUUUGCAAUCAUAAAACGAUUCUGAAAAAAAUUUAGUAACUCGAUAAGGUUACAGGGUACAUCGUAUUUUUUACGCGGGUUCUAAAUUAAUCUAAAACACUGACAUAUCCUCAUGUUUCGUUGUCAGUUUUUACAAUUUUUUUAGUCAAAAUGUUAGUAAUCUAGUAAAUGUGUUUAAUUAUAAAAUACCACCAGUCGAAAAAUCCGCAUCUAUUAACAGUGCGAAUAAUUUUGAAUCAUUGUGAAAAUGAAUGUUCUUCCUGAAAAUUAAAUUAUUAUUUUUCCUAAAACAAUAUGAUUCCGAUACGUUUUUCCGGAGCCAUUCGCAUUUUAUCUUAAUUUGGUGAUCUAAACCAAGCGUAUCAUUUAGAGAUUCGAGCGUGAUAUGGCAUUGUUAUUCUUACUCUUUUUCCUAAUAAUAUCCUAGGAUGUCGGUCCGUUCAAUAUGGCGGCGUGAGUAUAGUUUCUCUGCGG